UCCCUGGUGGCCUAAUGGUUAAAGAUUCUGCAUUGUCACUGCUGUGGCUCAGGUUCAAUCCCUGGUCCAGGAA
This is a transfer RNA of Sus scrofa (pig), 73 nucleotides long. It matches the Rfam family "tRNA". From Rfam's summary of the family: Transfer RNA (tRNA) molecules are approximately 80 nucleotides in length. Their secondary structure includes four short double-helical elements and three loops (D, anti-codon, and T loops). Further hydrogen bonds mediate the characteristic L-shaped molecular structure. tRNAs have two regions of fundamental functional importance: the anti-codon, which is responsible for specific mRNA codon recognition, and the 3' end, to which the tRNAs corresponding amino acid is attached (by aminoacyl-tRNA synthetases). tRNAs cope with the degeneracy of the genetic code in two manners: having more than one tRNA (with a specific anti-codon) for a particular amino acid; and 'wobble' base-pairing, i.e. permitting non-standard base-pairing at the 3rd anti-codon position. Lineage: Eukaryota; Metazoa; Chordata; Mammalia; Artiodactyla; Suidae. The record is from Rfam.